RNAcentral lists this ribosomal RNA (474 nucleotides) under uncultured bacterium. Its description in RNAcentral is "bacterial SSU rRNA". It matches the Rfam family "Bacterial small subunit ribosomal RNA", at positions 338 to 809 of the family's 1533-position model. The record is from RNAcentral.
CCUACGGGAGGCAGCAGUAAGGAAUAUUGGUCAAUGGAGGCAACUCUGAACCAGCCAUGCCGCGUGCAGGAUGACGGCCCUAUGGGUUGUAAACUGCUUUUAUACAAGAGAAAACCCUGGUACGUGUACCAGGUUGAUAGUAUUGUAAGAAUAAGCAUCGGCUAACUUCGUGCCAGCAGCCGCGGUAAGACGAAGGAUGCAAGCGUUAUCCGGAUUCAUUGGGUUUAAAGGGUGCGUAGGCGGACUGAUAAGUCAGUGGUGAAAUCUCUUUGCUUAACAAAGAAACUGCCAUUGAUACUGUCGGUCUAGAGUAUAGAUGACGUUGGCGGAAUAUGACAUGUAGUGGUGAAAUACUUAGAUAUGUCAUAGAACACCGAUUGCGAAGGCAGCUAACGAAACUAUAACUGACGCUGAGGCACGAAAGUGCGGGGAUCAAACAGGAUUAGAUACCCUGGUAGUCCGCACCGUAAACGA